AUAACAGGAUGGACACGACAAAGAGACUUCAAAGGGACUCAGGGGCUGGGGUGCACCUGUGGUUACCUGCAAGGCAAACUACACAGAGGAGGAUUGAUGUCCAGACUCAACUUUCAAGGCAAUAUGGUUCCAGGGACCCACUCUUGUGCCUACUGAAGUUCCUUCCAGAUUUGCCAUUGACUUCAGAGAAGCAGUAUCAGACCUACUGGGUAUCAGCAGUAUUGUGUUACUUUUGUUUGUCUCUUGAGUGACCUACGGUUAACAAGUAUAUGUUUAUUGCAUCUAUGAAUUUCUUUUGAAAAACAAACAACUGUGGCUUUCUCUCUCUCACACUCUUUGUAGACCUUGGUCUGUCAUAGGCCACAGUAUCUGAAAUACAUUCUUUCGCUAACUCACCUGCAGAUAAUACAUUUGUGUAAAGUUAAGGUUAUAACACUCAAUAUUUUAUAA
Long non-coding RNA from Mauremys mutica (yellowpond turtle), 450 nucleotides. RefSeq lists it as uncharacterized. The record is from RefSeq and is a predicted model, not a curated record. The transcript has 3 exons. Lineage: Eukaryota; Metazoa; Chordata; Testudines; Geoemydidae.